AUGAUCCAGCAGCCUCUUUGUAUCACCACUGGUUAAAAACUGCUAUCUCUUAGGAACUGGUUUUCAUGCUGAGUUUAUGUUUUCCAGUCUUCCUGUAGUUAAAAUUUCCAGCCCCUUCUAGCCCAGAAUGGUCGUUUGCUUUUUCCACCUGUGUGUCAAGGCAACUUUUUUGGUUACCUUUGGUCCAAAUGCAUUUUUAAAGGCUUCUGAAUGUGGCACAAAAAGGAGCACAUCAACUGAAGGCAAUGAACCCUGUGAAAAGAAGCCCAGGGCACAACAAAUCACUCUAGAAGAUAUCUGUAACCCAUUGAAGACUCAGGAAAAAAAAGAACCUCAGAAGCAUGAAAAGCCCUGUAUAUGUUUGCAAACUCUAGACAGACUGAGAGAAUUCUGCAGUGAUUCAGACCAGCAGUGUACCAGAAUCCAGGAUGGUUUUCAGGAGAAAGAGUCCGAGAGUUUGAAAAAAUGUCCCAGUAUUACUGGGAGAAGUUCAGAAUUGAAGAUCCCUCUUCCAUCUUGGGACACUGACCCAAAGGUUGCUCAGAAGGAGGAGGUACGAUGUGAUCUUAGUCAGUUUUCUGCAUCUCUUAAGUCCUAUGAAAAUACUCAGAAUGCUUUGGAUACAAAUCUUAAUAAAAGAACCAAAAGCAUUUACACUCCAUUAGAACUUCAGUUCAUAGAAAUGAAGAAACAGUAUAAAGAUGCUGUUUUGUGUGUGGAAUGUGGAUACAAAUACCGCUUCUUUGGAGAAGAUGCAGAGAUUGCAGCUAGAGAACUGAACAUCUAUUGCCACCUGGAUCACAACUUCAUGACUGCCAGUAUUCCGAGCCACCGGCUGUUUGUCCACGUGCGGCGCCUCGUGGCGAAGGGACAUAAGGUUGGAGUAAUAAAACAAAUGGAAACUGCAGCGCUGAAAGCUGCUGGAGAAAACAAAAGCUCUCUCUUCAGCCGUAAGCUGACUGCUCUCUACACUAAGUCUACACUUAUUGGAGAAGAUGUGAACCCUUUGCUGAAGCUGGAUGAUUCUGUAGAUGUUGAAGAGGUAACAAGAGAUGUCCCUGAUAACUACCUCCUCUGUUGCUGUGAAAAUGGAGAAAACCUAAGGGGCAGGAAGACAGGUGACAUUGUUAUAGGCAUUAUGGUGAUCCAACCAACUACUGGAGAAGUAAUUUUUGACUGUUUUCGGGACUCUGCGUCUCGCUCAGAAUUGGAGAGUCGAGUUUUGCGCCUGCAGCCAGUUGAAAUAAUUCUUCCAUCCAGGUUGUCAGAUCAAUCUGAAAAGCUCAUCAGCAGUAUAACCUCCAGGAGGUCACAGGAUGACAGAAUUAGGAUAGAAAGGAUGCAAAACCUCAAUUUUGAAUACAACCAUGCUUUCCAGGUGAUUACUGACUUCUAUGCAAAAGAAGUGCCUGGUACCACAGGUCCUCAAAAACUAUCUGUAAUACUAAGCUUGGAUAAGCCUGUUAUUUGCUCUCUGGCAGCAGUAAUUGCAUACCUCAAAGAAUUUAAUUUGGAAAGGAUGCUUUACGAUCCAAGAAAUUUCAAACAGUUGUCCAGUGAAACUGAAUACAUGACAAUUAAUGGGACAACAAUGAAAAAUCUUGAAAUUUUGCAGAAUCAGAUGGACAUGAAAACAAAAGGAAGUCUACUCUGGGUCUUGAAUCAUACUAAAACUUCCUUUGGACGUCGAAGACUGAAGAAAUGGGUGACCCAGCCUCUCAUGAAAUCCAGUGAAAUAAAUGCCCGGCUUGAUGCUGUGUCUGAAAUUCUGCUGUCAGAAUCCAACGUGUUUGGUCAGAUUCAAAAUCUUCUUUGUAAGCUGCCAGAUUUAGAGAGAGGCCUCUGCAGUGUUUUUCACAAAAAGUGCUCAACACAAGAGUUCUUCCUGAUUGUCAGCACCCUGUCUCGCCUGCACUUGGAAAUCCAAGCUCUUGUCCCAGUGCUGCAUUCCCAUGUGAGAUCUCCGCUAUUAAAAAAUGCACUGUUGGAAGUCCCAGAGCUUCUCUCUCCAGUAAAACAUUAUUUAAAGAUCCUUAAUGAAGAAGCAGCCAAGACUGGAGAUAAAACCCAAUUGUUCAAGGACCUUACAGACUUUCCUGUCAUCAGAAAGAAAAAGGAGGACAUCCAGGGUGUGCUUUCUAAAAUCCAAUUGCAUCUGCCAGACAUUCGUAAACAGAUUAAGAAUCCUUCUGCUGAGUAUGUUACAGUUUCAGGUCAAGAGUUUCUGAUAGAAGUCAAGAAUUCCCAUAAAUCAUCUGUACCAUCUGACUGGGUUAUGAUUAGUAGCACAAAAGCUGUGAGCCGCUUCCACACUCCUUUUAUCAUAGAAAAUUACAGGCAUCUGAAUCAGCUCCAGGAGAAGCUCAUCCUUGACUGCAGCGCUGAGUGGCUGAACUUCUUAGACCAUUUCAGUGAACAUUAUCACUCUGUGUCUAAAGCCAUUGGUCACCUAGCAACUGUCGACUGCCUGUUCUCUCUUGCCCUGGUGGCUAAACAAGGAGACUAUUGCAGACCAGUUGUGCAAGAUAAUUGUCAAGAAAUAAUUAUAAAAAAUGGGAGGCACCCUGUGAUUGACGUACUCCUGGGAGAACAGGAUCAGUAUGUUCCAAAUACCACUAACCUUUCAGGAGAUGGUGAAAGGGUCAUGAUAAUAACUGGGCCUAACAUGGGAGGAAAGAGCUCCUACAUAAAGCAAGUGGCCUUGAUCACAGUCAUGGCACAGGUCGGUUCUUAUGUUCCUGCGGAGGAAGCGACAAUUGGAAUUGUGGAUGGUAUUUUUACCAGAAUGGGUGCAGCAGACAAUAUCUACAAAGGCCGAAGUACCUUCAUGGAAGAACUGACAGAUACUGCCGAGAUAAUAAGAAAAGCCACACCAAGAUCCCUGGUGAUCCUGGAUGAGUUGGGCAGAGGGACAAGCACACACGAUGGAAUUGCCAUCGCUUAUGCUACACUUGAACACUUUAUUAGAGAUGUGGAGUCCCUGACCCUGUUUGUCACUCACUAUCCCUUGGUUUGUGAGCUGGAGCAGCUGUAUCCAGACAAAGUUGGUAAUUACCACAUGGCUUUCCUGGUGAAUGAGGAGGAAACCGGUGAACAAAAAGGAUCUGAAGUUGAAGAGAAUCCUGAAUUUAUCACUUUUCUUUAUCAAAUAAUUAAAGGAAUCUCAGCAAGGAGUUAUGGGCUAAAUGUUGCCAAACUGGCAGAUAUUCCUGAAGAAAUCUUGAAGAAAGCAGCUCACAAAUCAAAGGAGUUGGAGAAAAUAGUGAAUAUGAAAAGAAAGAAAAUGAAGUGUUUUGCUGAAGCGUGGAAGAUAAAUGAUUCUCAGGAACUGCAGAAGUGGAAAAGUAUGUGUGAACCUGAAGAUGAAAGAAAGGACAGUUUUUAAUCCUCAGAUCAUGGUUAAAGAUGGAAGAUAUUGGAGGUGCAAAAUAUAGGUCUGGAGAGUAAUAGAUUCUAUCAGGGUAUAGUUCUGGUGCACUAAGUUGACUUUUUUGCCUUCUGAGAGAUAAAAGAUGCUGCAUUGUGUGUAAUUUUUCUCUCUCCACAUCCCUUCCCUUUUCACCCUUCUUCUUAAUUGCAAAAUGUGUACUGGCAUUGGAUCUAAUAGGUUUAGAAAAUAUGAAAAAAAUUACUGAUAAAUUAUUAGGUAAAUAUUUUAUAAAUAAAAUAAUGUGUUUCAUCUUUAUUGAACUUCAAUUUCUAAAGAAAUAUUUCUCUGUGUUAGGAGAAUGUAGCUGAGUCUCAGCUGUGCUGUACUGCUGUGCAACUGAAAAAUGUUAAUGCCUUUGUCCAUCUUGUCUUGAAGGUGUCACCUUCAGAGAUCACAGUGCCACAGGUGAGCAGCAAAAACUGGCAGAGCAUUUUGAUGAGAGAGAAGGAGAGGGAGGGCUGGGUGCACUGUCACUGCCUUUGUGUGUUUGGUUAUAUAAAAAAGUCAUUAUGGAAUACGCAGAGUAAAAUACAUUACCAGUACAAUUACCUCUAUUGCUGGCAGACAACAUCUGUCACUGAAGUAAUUCUCCAGAGGAUUUCUCUUUGUGUUGCAAAGUUUUCCAGCAGUAUUUAUAGAAAUUACAUGAAUAUGCCUAUCACAUAUGUUUACAAAGUGUAUAAAUCAAUUUAAAGAUCAUUGCAAUGUCAGCUCGGUCAGGUAUUGCGAUAAAGUGUGUUUACCACAAUGAAGUUAAUGUUUAUUUUUGAAGUGUGUUUGAAAGUAAAUUAUCCAAAUAUUUCUACUAUAUGUAAAAUUAUUGAGAAUUUGAUUCUAUUCUUUUAGUAGAAAUACCUUGCUAGUUCUGAUAUGUUUCCUAGGGAAAUAAAGGUGGAUUGUGUUGCACUGA
This is an RNA transcript of Manacus vitellinus (golden-collared manakin), 4340 nucleotides long. It is a transcript of the gene named mutS homolog 3, with no coding region annotated. The transcript is spliced from 25 exons. Lineage: Eukaryota; Metazoa; Chordata; Aves; Passeriformes; Pipridae. The record is from RefSeq and is a predicted model, not a curated record.